AAGGAAUGAGAUGCUACCUUUUCGGCGCCGUAGCACGUUUCCCCAUCCGCGCUCCAAAAUAGUUCGCGUGAUUUCAAAUGUUUUUGAAUAUUCCCUCAAAGGUACAGGAUCCGUGGUAUAACCUACUGUUGCGCCUAACGCUUGAAGCUAUUGUGUUGCAAUUCAUGCAAUAUUGCACUGCACAGUAGUGGAAGCGUCCAUCAGUCGCCAGCGGAAUAGUCAGUCUCUUAUGAAUCGUCCAAGUGUGAGGAUGGCGGUCGCGCAUCUGCAUCAAUUCGCCCUUUAUCUUUGUGAUUUUUUUCCGUUUUAAGGCAUUAUGAGCGCUGACGGAAAGAUAGCAAGCUGAAGCGGAGUGUUUUAGUGACUGUUACCAACCGCGCUGUGUGAAAAGGUUGAGCCUGUACGAGGC
Molecule: long non-coding RNA, 409 nt
Organism: Ornithodoros turicata
Lineage: Eukaryota; Metazoa; Arthropoda; Arachnida; Ixodida; Argasidae
Exons: 3
Source: RefSeq, a predicted model, not a curated record